GACGAACGCUGGCGGCGUGCUUAGCACAUGCAAGUCGAGCGGUAAGGCCCUUUCGGGGGUACACGAGCGGCGAACGGGUGAGUAACACGUGGGUGACCUGCCCUCAGCUCUGGGAUAAGCCUGGGAAACCGGGUCUAAUACUGGAUAUGACUCCAUGACGCAUGUUGUGGGGUGGAAAGCCUUGUGCGGCUGAGGAUGGGCCCGCGGCCUAUCAGCUUGUUGGUGGGGUGAUGGCCACCAAGGCGACGACGGGUAGCCGGCCUGAGAGGGCGACCGGCCACACUGGGACUGAGACACGGCCCAGACUCCUACGGGAGGCAGCAGUGGGGAAUCUUGCGCAAUGGGCGAAAGCCUGACGCAGCGACGCCGCGUGAGGGAUGACGGCCU
RNAcentral lists this ribosomal RNA (387 nucleotides) under uncultured bacterium. RNAcentral describes it as "bacterial SSU rRNA". It matches the Rfam family "Bacterial small subunit ribosomal RNA", at positions 28 to 417 of the family's 1533-position model. The record is from RNAcentral.